This is a non-coding RNA of Anas platyrhynchos (mallard), 3875 nucleotides long. NCBI's taxonomy places the organism in Eukaryota, Metazoa, Chordata, Aves, Anseriformes, Anatidae. The record is from RefSeq and is a predicted model, not a curated record.
UCUGUUUUCUCUUUGCCCCGCCUGCCUCGACAAGCAGAAACACCUCUGCCAGGUGAUCUGAUGGAUACGGAGGAAACCUGUUUGGCACUUGCUGCCUGAACACCACAAAGAGAUAAGGGAUUUCUGAUGGGCACCCUGAAGACCUGGGCCUGUGGGCAUGCCCACUCCCUCAUCCAGAUGCUGGAAGGCAUGGAUGCUAGGAAAGAGGGAGGAGAAGGUUUUAUAUACUGAACUUGUUUUGGAUACUUUGAUUUGAUUAGUUUGCUUUGAGAUGCAACAAGUCCAUCAUUUUACAGAAGACAAUGGAAAUGAAAGCAGCAUUUAGAAAUAAAUAUACAAUUUACACUAUCUCCUCCUCUGCCCUUCAGUGUGGAACAGGUUCCCCACUCACCCACUUCAUCCUCCUCUCUUGCAGCUCCCUUUUAAGCUUUCCCCCGCACAGUGCUGAGCAGGACCUGCUUGGUAAAAUGAGGCAGCUGGUAAGCAGUGCCCCCUGCAGAACCAGUGGGGCUGAAACCUUGCAAAAUUAAAUACACCUGCCUUGCCGUGUUGCAGACCUUCAAGCCUGACCUAAGCAGGUGCCUCAGACCAAGAGGUUCCCUAAAGGGUCCAAGCGGAGUUACUUCUUUUGAUUCCUUGAGAAUGGACUGUGUGGAAGGAGCCAAGGGAACCUCUUUCCUGCCCCAGAAAAGCUAUCACGAGGAGAGGCCUGAUAUCAGCACCACUCAUCAGACUAUGAUAUAGAGCUGCCCAGUAGAUAUUGGAGUCUCAGCUGGCAUGAAUGACAGUGGAGGCUGGAGAUCAGUUUGAAGGAGUCAAACUGCUUUGUUUGUUUCAUCCGUGCCUUUAAAUGAAAUUUCAGGGCCACGUGAAAGCUCUAAGUCUAGAACUGCUCACAUACAUACCCCUAAAGCAACUAGAUGCUCCUGAAUCGUCAUCUGACCAGAAGUUUUUGUUAGAAUGGCAGAUUACUUGGGUAUGAACUAAAACCAGCCACUACAAAGAAAAGUAAAUCCGUUCCUAGGGAAAUCUCAGAAUCUCUUUUCCAUUGUAAAAUGGAAUAAAAAAUAAUAAAAAGUUGGCAUUACUGAAUUUCUCUAGAAUGAGGAUUUCUGAAGUCUCGGAAACAUAGGAAUUGGAGCCUUUGUUCUGAAAACAUAAAAUAUUUAAUAUGGAAUUUUUCCCAACCAAAUUUGUUUCAAGAGGGAAUUUCUGUGUGCAAAAAAAAAAAAAUAAACGCCACUCAGUGCUGAUGAAACUCCAUGUAUGCUAUCCACUGCUAUCUAGCUAAGGAAGAAGAAUCCUUCUCUUCUGCUACAUUACCUUUCUUUCCAGGGAAUGAGAAAAAGAAAGAAGAAAAGCCAUUUGAGAGUCGGCAUGGCCACAGGACUCAUCUGGGGCUUGGCUGGCAGUGAUAUCACUGCCCUCCCUCCAAAUAACAGCCCUGGGUGAUGUCAUCUCUUUUCCUUUAACACAUCCUAACAAACAACACAGUGCAGGGGGAGAUUGUCCCUUUUUCUUUGUAUUAUUAUUAUUAUUUUAAUUUCCAAAUGAAUUUUGUAAUAACAGCAAUUAAACCCUCCCGCCAGCCAGCCCCUGGGGGGUGAUUCUUGUUCUUGUGCAGUGAAACUUUUCUCCUAGAGAACAUCAUAGCAGGCAUGCAAUAAUCAUCCAGAAAUGCACAGCCUGUCAUGUCUUAUUGCUUAAUUAUCCAUCUCACCUUCUUUCAACCCUCUUCUUACUGUUCCUUGUGUGAUGCCUAUUUAUUUUAUUUCAUUUUCCCCAACCUCUGUCCCUCCAUGCCUAAAGAUUGUGAGAGCUGAAAACAUUUUUCCCUUUCGUUCUGCUGCUCUGAAGUUCCUCCAUCAUAGGUCACCACUGACCAUUCCCAUGAGGAAUUAUAAACUCAACACUCUCAGAGAGUUUUUCCCACUUUUAACUUACUGUGGACAAAUUCUACUAGCUAUAACAUCACUACAAUGUCAUUUCACCCAGCGUGAAACUGGCCUUUCUGUUUUAUACCCUCAGAAUAUAAAUGGCUAUGCCUCUCAGGAACCUUUUCUGAAAUAAGGGAAAAUUAAUCCAAAGAAACCUAACAUACAGGAGCCCAAAAUACUGGAUGGAACAGUCUUCAGGAGUUCCUCAUCUGCAUGUCAGGGGGUUGGCUUUGUAGGGCAUGCACAUGUGUGCAAUUUUUAAUGUUCGUUUGGGUGUGCUUUAAGCCCCCUCUCUCUAAAAGCAGCUCCAGUUUAAGAUAGCUGUUAACCUUUGCCAGAUGCUGAAACAACAGCCAAGCAUCUGAAUGGUAUCAGAGUGGAUCAUCCCUGUUCCUUCCACCCUACUACACUGAGCCAAAAAAUCCCUGCAGUUUGCAUCAUUUUGCUCUUCAGGUCUGGGGAAAUGUUCUUCAUGGAGGAAAAUCUUGGCCUUCAGGAAAUGUCUAAGUAAGGUUCUCAAGACAGUCUGUGAGUAAUUUAGAAAUGUAAGUCUGAAGAUGAAAAGAGGAAAGAGCUGAAUACCUCACUGGAAAGCAGUUUCUUCUACAUUUCUCUUGAAAAAUAGUAAAUAGUCUAUGACUAAAUUAAUAAAUGAGUAAAUUAGUCUAUGACAUGGCUGGGGUAAAACUAACACAAAUGAUUGGUCUGGAUCCAUGUCCCAAGGUCUCUUUGGUUCCCUGACACUCUUUUUUUUUCUUGUGCUUUGUCUUUUGCACUAAACUAGGAUCCAGAAUAGCUGCAGUUCAGCUGAGACACCCUUGUCCAGGCUACAGGAAGGGGAUGGUCCCUGGCUGAGGAAGCAAAUGUGCCAAAUAGAGCUGAGGAAAGCCACAUCACUCAGAGGUCCCAUCUGAAGCUUCAUAGAAAGGCUUCAGAACAGGUCUUCAAUCACUCCUGUUGCUCUCCAGCUGGUCUACAUCUUUCCUGAAAAGCAGUAACCAAAACUGUGCAGAGUAUUCAUCUUGAGUCCCUACUAAUAGCAAGAAGAGUGGAAGAAUUGCUUCAUACUUACAGCUGGAAAAGAAGACAGAAGUUCCCCCAAAUUGCCACCCACACCUGCACAUUUGCAGUUUCUGCGCACCAAAGCAAAACAGCUCUCUUCUUUCUAAGCUGCAGAAAUGCAAAGAAUCACUUGUUUGGAUAGAGAAAUGAAACUGUCAGCUGAUGCAGGACGCAUGGCUGCCAGACCAGGCUCCCAAAACCUAAAUCCCCAAACAGGAGCUUUUGGGUGCACUCCUGGAAACCUGGACAUCUCCUUUGUGCAGGACUUUGCACCGCUGCUUUCUGCUUUGGCAUCAGCUCCACUGUGUCUUUCUGGGGCUCUACUGGUCUCUCAAGAAAGAAUAACAACAAACCCAAUGAACCAAGUAAAGAGAGCCUGGACUUUUUCCUGCAGAAGACCCUGUGGCUAUUCUUGGAGUUUGCCUGCCAGCUGCCUUCUGUCUCAGAAAUGAACUCCUUCCUUCUGCUCCCCAGAGACAUACCAAGUUUGCCUGUGACAUGACUGAAGCUAACUGCAUCCACUUGACAGGGUAACUCUGCUUCCUCACGAAAGAGCUGAAGGUGGGCCAGGAGAGAAGUCUUGCAGCUCCUGGCGUCCAGCAAAAACACUGUACAGUUUUCUCUCCACAAGAAAUGCUGUAGGUUCCAUCUGAUUAGGAAGUGAUUUGGGGUUUUCCUAUGUGAAAAACAUGCAUUCACUUAUUUUGUUUAUUUCAUGCAUUUUAGUUUAGGGAGCAACCUGAUUGCUCCUCAAAUUGUUGUGGUUUCCUGCCACUGAACACUGAAUUAUUCCUUCCUUCAUACUUUAGAAAAUUAAAAUACAGAUUUAAACACUAACAUUUGCUAUUUUGCUGGGAAUAAAGUGUGGGAAAAUCA